AUAUUGGUCAAUGGCUGGAAGGCUGAACCAGCCAUGCCGCGUGAAGGUCAGUGCCCUAUGGGCGUUAAACUUCUUUUGUGCGGGAGCAAUAAGGUCCACGUGUGGGCCGACGAGAGUACCGUACGAAUAAGCAUCGGCUAACUCCGUGCCAGCAGCCGCGGUAAUGCGGGGGAUGCAAGCGUUAUCCGGAUUUAUUGGGUUUAAAGGGUGCGUAGGCUGUGAGGUAAGUCAGCGGUGAAAUGCCCCCGCUCAACGGGGUGAAGUGCCAUUGAUACUGCCUUGCUGGAAUGCGGAUGCCGUGGGAGGAAUGUGUGGUGUAGCGGUGAAAUGCAUAGAUAUCACGCAGAACUCCGAUUGCGAAGGCAGCAUACCGGCGCCCUACUGACGCUGAGGCACGAAAGCGUGGGUAUCGAACAG
This 417-nucleotide ribosomal RNA is filed under the name uncultured bacterium. Its description in RNAcentral is "bacterial SSU rRNA". It matches the Rfam family "Bacterial small subunit ribosomal RNA", at positions 361 to 775 of the family's 1533-position model. The record is from RNAcentral.